ACUUUGCAACAUGACAUAGUUACUUAAGCCAAGUGGCAUGUUAUCUGUACGCAUUUUGAGCCGCGUGUAUGUCUACGCUCUAUGCAGAGGACGUAAACAUACACGC
This is a long non-coding RNA of Etheostoma cragini (Arkansas darter), 106 nucleotides long. RefSeq lists it as uncharacterized. Lineage: Eukaryota; Metazoa; Chordata; Actinopteri; Perciformes; Percidae. The transcript has 3 exons. The record is from RefSeq and is a predicted model, not a curated record.